CAGUAGCCGCGGUAAUACGAAGGGGGCUAGCGUUGUUCGGAAUUACUGGGCGUAAAGCGCGUGUAGGCGGGUCCUUAAGUCAGGGGUGAAAUGCCAAGGCUCAACCUUGGAACUGCCUUUGAUACUGGGGAUCUUGAGUCCGGGAGAGGUGAGUGGAACUGCGAGUGUAGAGGUGAAAUUCGUAGAUAUUCGCAAGAACACCAGUGGCGAAGGUGGCUCACUGGCCCGGAACUGACGCUGAGACGCGAAAGCGUGGGGAGCAAACAGGAUUAGAUACCCCCGUAGUCCCUGUCUCUUAUAC
This 301-nucleotide ribosomal RNA is filed under the name uncultured bacterium. Its description in RNAcentral is "partial 16S ribosomal RNA". It matches the Rfam family "Bacterial small subunit ribosomal RNA", at positions 509 to 807 of the family's 1533-position model. The record is from RNAcentral.